AGAGUUUGAUUCUGGCUCAGAAUGAACGCUGGCGGCAUGGAUUAGGCAUGCAAGUCGAACGGGGCCCUUCGGGGCCCAGUGGCGAAAGGGUGAGUAACACGUGAGGAACCUGCCCGGAAGGCCGGAAUAAGCGCUGGAAACGGCGUGUAAUGCCGGAUGAGGCGGCGCCGGGGCAUCCCGGCUCCGCGAAAGAUUCAUCCCUUCCGGAUGGCCUCGCGGCCCAUUAGCUGGUUGGCGGGGUGAAGGCCCACCAAGGCUUUGACGGGUAGGUGGUCUGAGAGGAUGGUCACCCACACUGGGACUGAGACACUGCCCAGACUCCUUCGGGAGGCUGCAGUCGAGAAUCUUCCGCAAUGGGCGCAAAGCCUGACGGAGCGAUGCCGCGUGAGGGACGAAGGCCUUCGGGUUGUAAACCUCUGUCACCCGGGACGAGACAGACGGUACCGGGAGAGGAAGCCACGGCUAACUACGUGCCAGCCGCUGC
Molecule: ribosomal RNA, 484 nt
Filed under: uncultured bacterium
Lineage: Bacteria
Description: bacterial SSU rRNA
Rfam family: Bacterial small subunit ribosomal RNA
Source: RNAcentral